CAGUGAGUAGGACAGUCAGGUAGUCUGUUUCCUUUGGAAGGAAAAGGUCGAGGGUUCAAAUCCCUCCUCGCUGACCA
This 77-nucleotide transfer RNA is filed under the name Vibrio phage 172P1. RNAcentral's name for it is "tRNA-Pro". It matches the Rfam family "tRNA". Rfam says of the family: Transfer RNA (tRNA) molecules are approximately 80 nucleotides in length. Their secondary structure includes four short double-helical elements and three loops (D, anti-codon, and T loops). The record is from RNAcentral. Lineage: Duplodnaviria; Heunggongvirae; Uroviricota; Caudoviricetes; Zobellviridae.